CUCUCUGUUUUCCUCUCCUUUUUCUGCUUAUUUCUUUGCAUCUGACAGACAGCUUUCUGUCUGUCUUAGUUUGCUUUCAGUUGCUGUGAUAAACACUGACCCAGAGCAGCUAAGAGGAAGAAGGGGUUUACUUCAUUUUUACAGCUUACGGCCCAUAUCAAGGGAGAUCAAGGCAGGAGCUGAAGAAGAAACCACGGAGGAAUCUCCAAAAUAAGAGAAUAAAAUCAGACCGUGCUGAAAGCACAGCUAAGACUGUGACCCCGUAGGAGUCAGACAGAGCAAGAAGAACCUGAAUCAUGAUUCCGGAAACUAGGCUAAGGGUCAAAAAACAGCUGAGCUACUGAUCAACCAAAGGAGCAGCUGAUAAAUUCCCAGUUCCAGUCUUGAGGGAACAGCAUGGAAGAGGAGGCCCUUGAAUGUGUUUCUCCUUUGCAAACUGGAAACUGUUUCCUACUGAAGUUGUCUGCAGAGUUGUGUCAUCCAGGAUGACCACACGGAGGCACUGAGUUGGUCAGCAAGGUCAAUACUGGCUUGAGAGCAAGCCCCCGUUGCAGACCUACUCUGUGGAGCUGCAGAUGGAGAAUACAGAGUUUGACCAAAUGGCUUCAUGAAAAUGUUCUCACGGAGCGAUGACUUGGACAGCUAUGGGCAGGUUAGGAGACCGUGGGCAUGGUAAGGCUCUGUCACCAUUCUUGGGACUAAAGGACAGGGAGGGAAUAGUGGCCCAAGAGCGGAGUGAAAACCAGAACCAGGGAAGAAGUAAAGGAAAACAGAGACAGCUAGAAAGAUGGUAUCGUAGCAAACAGGAAGUAGAGAAAAAAAUAUCCUAGCCUUUCUCUCACUUUGCCUCUUCUCUCCCAGGUUUUAAGUCUAUUUAGAAACCAAAAGGCAGAGGAUCCUGGGCCCCAGUAUUUGCAGGGUUCAGUCUUAUAACCAGGAGCAAGGAGGAUGAGAAAGACUAGGGAAAGGUGGUGCUGGUAGUGGAGAACCACCCAUGUAUUGGUUACUUUUCUAAUUGCUGCAACAAAAUAGCCAACAAAAGGGGGGAAUUGCUUUGAGGAAUAGUUUGAGGACAGAUUUCAUCACCAGGGAAGGAAUGACAGAAGGCGAAGAAGGCAGCUAGUCACAUUGUGUCCACAGUGAGGAAACAGGUGAACACUAGUACUUAGUGUGCUUUCUCCUUUUGAUUCAGACUAGGACCUGGACUUAGGGAAUGGUGCCACCCACUUUGAGGGUUGGUCUUCCCAUCUCAAUCCAAUCUAGACCCUGCCAUAUUGCCAUUACAACUUCAAAACUGCCCUCUUCAUCUGCUGCCCUUGCUGCUGACUGAGAGAUGUCUCCCAGAGGUCAGCCUGCAUCUGGGGCUUUGCUCAGCCCUCUCCCAGUGUAUGCGCACUGAUCUUCCAGGGAGGUUCGCCCAUGCUCAGAACAAGCACAGAAACUUCUCUUAAGGCCAAAUACAAAUGGCUUUUGGAUUUCUCACCAUUUGGCUUCAUUAUUUGCACCAUUGCUUCUGUCUAUCACUGAGGAGAGCCGGGAGGUAUUUGGAUUGUCCUUGGCUUUCCAGGAUGACCUUGUAUAGGGCCGAUUACAAAGGGCUCACAAAGAUGUGUGAAUGUCACUUCACUCUUCACUCUGGCUCAGCAAAGCUUAAUCUUUGGCUUGUUACUGGAACCCUGAACUGAAGAACCUGUCACUGCACAUGGGUCUCACACGCCAAAGGGUUCAGUGGGGCCUGACAGUAAAAGAAUGAGCAUAGGCUGUGAACACCAGGGAAAUGUCUCCAGACGAGCAGGGGGAGGAGAUUUGAGCCUAUCUGUGCCAGCUGGAAGAAAAACCCAAAUAAUGGGAAAGAGGAGAUGUCACGGAGGCCCCAGGUAUAUUGAAUCAAGUUCAAGUCAGAGUAUGCAGGCUAGGGUUAGACUCAGAUAUGUAGAAGGUCUCAAUGGGGCCAAGGAGCUGGAACCCCAAGCCUCUUGCUCACUCCCACAGGAGCUCAGGUUUCUGGACACAUCGUCCCUGUGGACUGAGAUCCACCACCCAGCCCUGGAGAGGCUGAGAGCUGAUCUGUGCUCAGCAAUGGUGGACAGACACAAUGGUGGGGAAGUCACAUUGGAGGAGAAACAAGUGUCCCUAAGCUUAGAUGGCUUCAGUCAGGCCCCUAUUAGGGCUUUGUGACGCUGGAGGGGGCCCCUGUACCCCCAGGACUCCCUCUACUUAUCGUCAGCGAGGCCUCACCUUUCUUUCCCAGUCCCCUUUGAAUCCUCACUCUCUUUUGACGAGGAAACUUCAUUGGCUCGAAGGUGGGAAGGCAACAGAAGCACCAGUCUGUGAAUUCUGAUUAAAAUCUGUCGGUGAGGACAGGGGUUCUCACUCUGCUCAAAUCCAGGUUUGAUUCAUGUGCUCGUUCUAGACCCUGCAUUCUUCCCAGAACAAUAUGAUGCUCUGAUGGGUUGGAGUGGGAGUACAGGUACCUCCACCCCGACAAUGCAGAAUGACAGUGGGGAUUAUUGCCGGAAGGACGAGGAAGAUGAUCUCAGGUGUGGCCUCUGUAGCCUUGGGUCCCUCUCUACAGCUUUGAAGCCCUCUGCUUCUAACUCCCACGAUUACCUUCAUUUAUUUAUUUAUUUAUUUAUUUAAUGCAUAUGAGUACACUGUAGCUAGCUGU
Molecule: small RNA, 2668 nt
Filed under: Rattus norvegicus (Norway rat)
Lineage: Eukaryota; Metazoa; Chordata; Mammalia; Rodentia; Muridae
Description: uncharacterized LOC102552907
Source: RNAcentral